RNAcentral lists this ribosomal RNA (207 nucleotides) under uncultured bacterium. Its description in RNAcentral is "partial 16S ribosomal RNA". It matches the Rfam family "Bacterial small subunit ribosomal RNA", at positions 568 to 774 of the family's 1533-position model. The record is from RNAcentral.
CGCGUAGGUGGCCUUCUAAGUCGAACGUGAAAUCCCCGGGCUCAACCCGGGAACUGCGUCCGAUACUGGAGGGCUUGAAUCCGGGAGAGGGAUGCGGAAUUCCAGGUGUAGCGGUGAAAUGCGUAGAUAUCUGGAGGAACACCGGUGGCGAAGGCGGCAUCCUGGACCGGCAUUGACGCUGAGGCGCGAAAGCCAGGGGAGCAAACG